Molecule: transfer RNA, 72 nt
Filed under: Ictidomys tridecemlineatus (thirteen-lined ground squirrel)
Lineage: Eukaryota; Metazoa; Chordata; Mammalia; Rodentia; Sciuridae
Description: Spermophilus tridecemlineatus (thirteen-lined ground squirrel) tRNA
Rfam family: tRNA
About the family: Transfer RNA (tRNA) molecules are approximately 80 nucleotides in length. Their secondary structure includes four short double-helical elements and three loops (D, anti-codon, and T loops). Further hydrogen bonds mediate the characteristic L-shaped molecular structure. tRNAs have two regions of fundamental functional importance: the anti-codon, which is responsible for specific mRNA codon recognition, and the 3' end, to which the tRNAs corresponding amino acid is attached (by aminoacyl-tRNA synthetases). tRNAs cope with the degeneracy of the genetic code in two manners: having more than one tRNA (with a specific anti-codon) for a particular amino acid; and 'wobble' base-pairing, i.e. permitting non-standard base-pairing at the 3rd anti-codon position.
Source: Rfam by way of RNAcentral
UGGGUUGUGGCUCAGCGGUAGAGCGCUUGCCUAGCAUGUAUGAGGCCCUGGGUUCGAUCCUCGGCACCACAU